CAGUCGCCGCGGGAAUACGGAGGGUGCAAGCGUUAAUCGGAAUUACUGGGCGUGAAGCGUGCGUAGGCGGUUCGUUAAGUCUGUUGUGAAAGCCCCGGGCUCAACCUGGGAAUGGCAAUGGAUACUGGCGAGCUAGAGUGUGUCAGAGGAUGGUGGAAUUCCCGGUGUAGCGGUGAAAUGCGUAGAGAUCGGGAGGAACAUCAGUGGCGAAGGCGGCCAUCUGGGACAACACUGACGCUGAGGCACGAAAGCGUGGGGAGCAAACAGGAUUAGAUACCCGAGUAGUCCCUGUCUCUUAUAC
Molecule: ribosomal RNA, 301 nt
Filed under: uncultured bacterium
Lineage: Bacteria
Description: partial 16S ribosomal RNA
Rfam family: Bacterial small subunit ribosomal RNA
Source: RNAcentral